Coffea arabica (coffee) is the source of this 2604-nucleotide RNA transcript. It is a transcript of the gene named pentatricopeptide repeat-containing protein At1g28690, mitochondrial-like, with no coding region annotated. The record is from RefSeq and is a predicted model, not a curated record. NCBI's taxonomy places the organism in Eukaryota, Viridiplantae, Streptophyta, Magnoliopsida, Gentianales, Rubiaceae.
GUUUUUCUUGACCUGUUGAAUCUACCUAUCCCAUCAGUUUUAAGACUCUGACAAGUUGCUAGGUUAGAUGUGUUCGUAGAACCUGGGAGUUGAGUUUAACACCCCUACUGCUGCAUAUUCUCAUGGCCGACACAUUCGUUGCAUUAUGCUGGAUAAAUUGUUUGGGCUUAAGAGCUAAAUGUACAUACUGUUGAUGGAAUUAGCGUGCUCAAUGCAAUUGUGCAGCAGCCAGAAUAAUGUCAAAAUGUGCGAAAUUCAAAACCCCGAUCCUAUCAAGCUCGAAUUUCCCACCAAAAGAUUGUAACUACCUUUUGAGCCCUUUAACAUCAUCCACUUCUCUCUCCUCUGUCCUGCAACACUACAUCAACUCAGACCACCCUUCUCAUGGCCAAAAGAUUCAUUCCCACAUCAUUAAAACUGGGUUCAAGCCCAAUCGCAACAUCUCCAUCAAGAUCAUCAUACUUCACCUGAAAUCAUCUAGCUUGUCAUAUGCGCAGAAAGUGUUUGAUGAAUUGCCUCAGCCAACUCUUAGUUCUUAUAACUACAUGCUAUCAGGUUAUAUAAAACAUGGGCUCGUUGAGAAGUCUUUUGAUUUGUUUAGAAAAUUGACGUUUUCGGGUGAAAAGUCUGACGGGUUUACAUUUUCAAUGAUAUUGAAGGGGUCUAGUUUUGAAAGUGUAUUGUCGCGAUCCAAGACUGUGGGCAGAGAAGUACAUGCGCAGAUAAUAAAAUCUGGUGUUGAUGGUGAUGAUGUGCUUUACACGGCUUUAGUUGACUCGUACGUGAAGAGUAGGAGAUUGGACUAUGCAAGGAGAGUGUUUGAUUUGAUGUUGGAGAAGAAUGUAGUUUGUUCUACAUCUAUGAUCACUGGUUACAUGAACCAGGGUCUUAUCGAAGAUGCUGAGCACGUCUUCAACAAAACAGUGGAAAAAGACGUGGUGGUUUUCAAUGCAAUGAUUGAGGGUUACAGUAAAUUGAUUGAAACUGCCAAGAAAGCAAUUCAGGUUUUCAUUGCCAUGCAAAGGACAGGAUUUAAGCCCACAAUAUCAACCUUUGCGAGCAUUAUUGGGGCUUGUUCUGUAAUAUCUGCAUUUGAAGUUGGUCAGCAGGUUCAGGGGCAACUUAUGAAGACUGAAUUGUUUACUGAUAUAAAAAUGGGGAGCGCUCUUCUUGAUAUGUAUUCAAAAUGUGGAAGAACUGUGGACGCAAGAAAAAUUUUUGAUCAUAUGCCUGAAAAGAAUGUGUUUUCAUGGACUUCCAUGAUUGAUGGUUAUGGGAAAAAUGGUGCUCCAAAUGAAGCACUUCAGCUGUUCAAUAGGAUGCUGUUAGAUCCCUUGGUCAAGCCUAACUAUGUUACAUUUCUCAGUGCUCUUACUGCAUGUGCACAUGCCGGACUAGUUGCAACAGGAUGGGAGAUCUUUUACCGCAUGGAGAGAGACUACUCGAUGAAACCAAGGAUGGAGCACUAUGCCUGCAUGGUUGAUCUCUUAGGCCGUGCAGGAACUCUUAAUCAGGCCUUGGAAUUUAUUAUGGAGAUGCCUCAAAAUCCUAAUUCUGAUGUUUGGGCUGCUCUGCUGAGUUGUUCUAGGCUGCAUGGAGAUGUGGACAUGGCAAAUUUAGCUGCCAAUGAACUUUUCAAAUUAAAUGCUGAGAGUCGACCUGGGGCAUAUGUUGCAUUAUCUAAUACCUUGGCAGAAGCUGGGAGGUGGAGCAAUGUAACUGAGCUUAGGGAGCUAAUGAAGACAAGAGGAAUAUCUAAAGGCACUGGGUUUAGUUGGUUUGGCAGUGAUAGUCUAGAAGCUUUAUAUGCUGGACAAUAGAUGUAAAUGAAGGCUGUGAUGAAUUUUCACAAUUACUCAUUCUUUGUUUCUAGGCUAGUUGGACUGAUUAUAAACAGGAAAACAAUCAAGGACGAACCUACAAAAAACUUAGCACAUGGGCUUGCCUACUUUUGAUUCAAUGCCUUGGCUAACAGUUGGAGAAUAUGAAGAACUUGGUUCAUGGACGUUGCUGCUCUGUGAUUGUUGUCAAGAAUGAUAUUCAAAUAAGACAUGAUUUUUCUUUUUCUUGAGAGGGGAUGAUGGGGAAAGCAAGAAUGGUGCAAUAAGAAUCCAUAUCUGGUCAAAGCAAGGUGCUGGCUGAACUUAGCAUGGUGAGGAUCAUGGUUCCAUGGUUGGUUCCAGAUCGGUCAUUUUCAUCAAUUCAAUGGUCAACACAGUUUUUAAGUGUAAAUAUACAUCCUAUAAUGACUUCAUUAUAUGGUUAGACAAGCUUAGUGAAUACCAAAGCAAAAAUGCUUUAAGAAGAGUUGAUUGAAAAUUGAAAGUUUCAUCUUCAUGCAGUUUAUCUUCCGUCCAGAUUAUUAUAAUGCUGAACACAGCUUCAUCAUCAUUGGCAACAUAUGGGUCUUCUUUGUAAAGUUUUGUUUAUUGUACUUGUAGCUAGGGCAAGAGACAAAUGUAGCAGGGAAUAAAAAAUUAGCUGAUUACCUCUCCGAAAAUUUGUAGUUUCUUGUACGUUAUACUCAAGAUUGGGUGAUUUGGAUUUGUUUAGUUACUCUUGAAUCGCGAAAUCUUUCUUUUCAUGACCUUCUUAAUGCUAACA